RNAcentral lists this ribosomal RNA (254 nucleotides) under uncultured bacterium. RNAcentral describes it as "partial 16S ribosomal RNA". It matches the Rfam family "Bacterial small subunit ribosomal RNA", at positions 524 to 776 of the family's 1533-position model. The record is from RNAcentral.
UACGUAGGGUGCGAGCGUUGUCCGGAAUUACUGGGCGUAAAGAGCUCGUAGGUGGUUUGUCGCGUUGUUCGUGAAAACUCACAACUCAAUUGUGGGCGUGCGGGCGAUACGGGCAGACUGGAGUACUGCAGGGGAGACUGGAAUUCCUGGUGUAGCGGUGAAAUGCGUAGAUAUCUGGAGGAACACCGGUGGCGAUGGCGGCAUCCUGGACCACGACUGACGCUGAGUGAGCGAAAGCCAGGGGAGCAAACGGG